RNAcentral lists this ribosomal RNA (468 nucleotides) under uncultured bacterium. RNAcentral describes it as "partial 16S ribosomal RNA". It matches the Rfam family "Bacterial small subunit ribosomal RNA", at positions 28 to 507 of the family's 1533-position model. The record is from RNAcentral.
GACGAACGCUGGCGGCGUGCUUAACACAUGCAAGUCGAACGGAAAGGCCCUGCUUUUGUGGGGUGCUCGAGUGGCGAACGGGUGAGUAACACGUGAGUAACCUGCCCUUGACUUUGGAAUAACUUCAGGAAACUGGGGCUAAUACCGGAUAGGAGCUCCUGCUGCAUGGUGGGGGUUGGAAAGUUUCGGCGGUUGGGGAUGGACUCGCGGCUUAUCAGCUUGUUGGUGGGGUAGUGGCUUACCAAGGCCUUGACGGGUAGCCGGCCUGAGAGGGUGACCGGCCACAUUGGGACUGAGAUACGGCCCAGACUCCUACGGGAGGCAGCAGUGGGGAAUAUUGCACAAUGGGCGGAAGCCUGAUGCAGCAACGCCGCGUGCGGGAUGACGGCCUUCGGGUUGUAAACCGCUUUCGCCUGUGACGAAGCGUGAGUGACGGUAAUGGGUAAAGAAGCACCGGCUAACUACGUG